RNAcentral lists this small nucleolar RNA (119 nucleotides) under Ipomoea nil (Japanese morning glory). Its description in RNAcentral is "Small nucleolar RNA Z247". It matches the Rfam family "Small nucleolar RNA Z247". From Rfam's summary of the family: Z247 is a member of the C/D class of snoRNA which contain the C (UGAUGA) and D (CUGA) box motifs. Most of the members of the box C/D family function in directing site-specific 2'-O-methylation of substrate RNAs. Lineage: Eukaryota; Viridiplantae; Streptophyta; Magnoliopsida; Solanales; Convolvulaceae. The record is from Rfam by way of RNAcentral.
CCCAUUGAUGAUGAAGACCUCAUUGAUCAUGUUCUUGCCGGACUUGGUACUGAGUACAAAUCUGUAGUUGAUGCCAUUAAUGCCCGUGAUACUACAAUUUCCUUUGCUGAGCUUCAUGA